AUUUCCCCCAAGGCGCCAUGACGCGUUACAGAGCUGCCUGUGGGAGUGACAGACGGGGGAGCUUACACUAGCUGAAGGGGCUAGUACGAACCCCUGGCACCCAAGAUUUCCUCUGAAAUUGUAAGUGAUUGAAUUUAACCUAAAGACCCUCUACCUUCACUAUGCCUAUAAGGGCCCAGCUGCAAGAGAGAAAGAGAAUGAGGCAUUGAGAGCAAGAGGAGUUCUACAUCUACAUCAUACUGGAAGUUACCAUAACGUUGAAUAUGACAUGCUGUUGUUGUUCCACAUUGGCCUCUUCCUCAUCCUCCUCAUCUUCUGCAGUGACAGUUCCCCUUUAUAUCUGGCGGCAAGGCCUCACCCUGAGGCAGGAAACAAUGGCUUUAUAUUUCCAUCAGCCUUACCUCAGUGUUUUGCUGCUGGUGCAAGAUGUUACACAGCUUGGCACCCAUCUUGAAUCUCCUGUAUCAGGAAAGAAAGAUUAGAUCUGGUUAAACUGUCUAUGGAAGAUAAAGGCAAAGGAUCACAGGGGCAUGAUGGGAAAGAGACAGCUUCCCACAUUUGAAUCCUCAGUGAGAAGGAGCCAUGUGAGCGAGGGUUUGAUGCUCGGGCCGUGCAGCACUGUAUCUGCAGCAGAGGAGGAGUUCAGUGCAACACAGAGGAACACCCCUUGCACCUUGGUACCUCACUCAUCAGAACCAGUGAAGUGAUUUACUUUAAUAUUUUGCUCACAUAG
Long non-coding RNA from Xenopus tropicalis (tropical clawed frog), 733 nucleotides. RefSeq lists it as uncharacterized. The transcript has 5 exons. NCBI's taxonomy places the organism in Eukaryota, Metazoa, Chordata, Amphibia, Anura, Pipidae. The record is from RefSeq and is a predicted model, not a curated record.